UUUUACAGCAACUGAAAUAGAAAACCACUGGACACACAGUGGGAGCUAUUCCCUGAGGAAAAGGCCUUGACAGCAGAUCCUGGAAGACAGCCUUAAGUCGGAUUCUGGAAAGGCCUAGCAUCUCUUCCAGAACAGCAGGGCUUCCGUUGGAAUGGAACUGUUUAAGUUCAGGCUAUGUUUGGCUAAGGUGUGGAAUACGUGAGCUGCUGAAUUACUCCAAGAAGGAGGAGAGGCUGUUUCUGAAACUGACUGUGGUUUCUGGAAUCCCUAAAACAAUGGCAAACACUGGGAGCCUGGACCCUGCUCCCCCAAGGUCAGCCUGACCCUAGUCCAGGAUCUUCUGAGAGGACCAAGGUCAGGGGGAGAAGCACUUGCUUCAAACGCCCAGAUGAGCUCUCUGGACCUCUCUUGUGAUCUAUAAAACAGGAAUAAUAGCCCUUCUCCUCAGUACUGCUGUUAAAGGAUGCAACAUUCGCCAACCAUCCAGUCAUUCGAUUGACACCUUCUGUAUAGCAGGCACUGUUCCAAAAACUGGUAGAGCGGUGAACACAGCAGGCAAAACUCAUCCCCUGGUGGAGCUACAUGAUGGAGGAAGACAAUGACCAGAUAAAGAAGGUGUCUUAAUCUUCUAAUGUGUAACAAAAUA
Fukomys damarensis (Damara mole-rat) is the source of this 646-nucleotide long non-coding RNA. RefSeq lists it as uncharacterized. NCBI's taxonomy places the organism in Eukaryota, Metazoa, Chordata, Mammalia, Rodentia, Bathyergidae. The record is from RefSeq and is a predicted model, not a curated record. The transcript has 3 exons.